GAUGAACGCUGACAGAAUGCUUAACACAUGCAAGUCUUUGGCGAAGCUGUGCUUGCACAGCCUAGCCAAGGCGGACGGGUGAGUAACGCGUAAGGAACUUGCCCUGCAGUCAGGGAUAACAGACGGAAACGACUGAUAAGACCUGGUAAAGUCAGGCGGACUCAUGUCCAGCCUGAUGAAAAGAGAUGCUGCAGGAGAGCCUUGCGUCCUAUUAGCUUGUUGGUGGGGUAACGGCCCACCAAGGCGAUGAUAGGUAGCCGGCCUGAGAGGGUGGACGGCCACAAGGGGACUGAGAUACGGGCCUUACUCCUACGGGAGGCAGCAGUGGGGAAUAUUGGACAAUGGGGGCAACCCUGAUCCAGCAAUUCUGUGUGCACGAUGAAGGUUUUCGGAUUGUAAAGUGCUUUCAGCAGGGAAGAAAAAAUGACGGUACCUGCAGAAGAAGCGACGGCUAAAUACGUG
Molecule: ribosomal RNA, 462 nt
Filed under: uncultured bacterium
Lineage: Bacteria
Description: partial 16S ribosomal RNA
Rfam family: Bacterial small subunit ribosomal RNA
Source: RNAcentral